GGGGAAUAUUGCGCAAUGGACGAAAGUCUGACGCAGCAACGCCGCGUGGGUGAUGAAGGCCUUAGGGUCGUAAAGCCCUGUCAGGUGGGAAGAACCAGGUCUUUCGGGACCUCUGACGGUACCACCAAAGGAG
Molecule: ribosomal RNA, 133 nt
Filed under: uncultured bacterium
Lineage: Bacteria
Description: partial 16S ribosomal RNA
Rfam family: Bacterial small subunit ribosomal RNA
Source: RNAcentral